CUCCCCGCGAGGCGCGCUGCUGCUUCUGCUAGCCGCGGCGGGGGUCGCAGAGGUGACGGGAGGCCUGGCUCCGGGCAGCGCGGGUGCUGUGUGCUGUAAUCAUUCAAAAGAUAACCAGAUGUGCCGGGAUGUGUGUGAGCAGAUUUUCUCCUCAGAAAGUGAAUCCCGACUGAAACAUCUGUUGCAGAGAGCCCCAGAUUAUUGCCCAGAAACAAUGGUUGAAAUUUGGAGUUGCAUGAAUUCAUCUUUGCCAGGU
Grammomys surdaster is the source of this 256-nucleotide long non-coding RNA. RefSeq lists it as uncharacterized. The transcript is spliced from 4 exons. NCBI's taxonomy places the organism in Eukaryota, Metazoa, Chordata, Mammalia, Rodentia, Muridae. The record is from RefSeq and is a predicted model, not a curated record.